CAACAUGUUGGGGUGACCCAAACAUGGGUUAAUUUAGCCAUCAGUUGGGUUGACCCAAACAUGGGUUAAUUUAGCCAUCAGUUGGGUUGACCCAGUAGCUGGGUCUUUUUUUUCUUUCAUUUUCAGUAAGUGUGGCCUAUUAAGGGUGUAGCUGUCAUUCAGUUAUUUUUGGCCAAAUGGUCAACUUUCUGGUCAACUUUUAUGGUGGCAAUAAUGCCCCUUAUUUGCUAGUACACUUUGGAAGUAUUAGAAUUAGGCCCAGCAAAUAGUGUGGUGAACUUGAUCCAAUGUCUUCGGAGGUGAUGGCAGAAUGUUCAACUUUUGCCGUCUGAUAGAAAAGGUUUCUGUAAAACAGACCGUUUGGAUAUUAAAAGGACCUCAUCUGUUUUCCGUUGGCUUUUUCUCGAAACGUAAUAUUGGCCUAUGUUGAAACGUAAUAUUGGCCUAUGUUGAAACGUAAUAUUGGCCUAUGUUGAAACGUAAUAUUGGCCUAUGUUGAAACGUAAUAUUGGCCUAUGUUGAAACGUAAUAUAGGCCUAUGUUGAAACGUAAUAUUGGCCUGUGUUGAAACGUAAUAUUGGCCUAUGUUGAAACGUAAUAUAGGCCUAUGUUGAAACGUAAUAUAGGCCUAUGUUGAAACGUAAUAUUGGCCUGUGUUGAAACGUAAUAUUGGCCUAUGUUGAACUACACACAAAUUCUCAAACCUUGUCCAGACGCAGAGGAAGCCACUGGCUACUUGUCUGCUUAGCAGUGCGACAAUAUAUAAAGUCGACAUUUACAUUGAAAUUGAGAAUAAACGCUUAGGUAUAUUUCAAUAAAGUAGAGGCUUUGGUUAACUGCGUGUCUCUCUCUGGCUCUCUGUUGCUGUGCCACGGUUUGAAAUGCCUGCAGUUAGAUGACCUGGUGAAACUAGACUUUAGGAUUUCCUUGUUACUAAUGCUAAUUGUGUGUGUCGGUUUUGGAAUAAAAUCAUUUUUGUUGACAGUG
Oncorhynchus keta (chum salmon) is the source of this 987-nucleotide long non-coding RNA. RefSeq lists it as uncharacterized. NCBI's taxonomy places the organism in Eukaryota, Metazoa, Chordata, Actinopteri, Salmoniformes, Salmonidae. The transcript is spliced from 2 exons. The record is from RefSeq and is a predicted model, not a curated record.